CUUCUCACAAAGUCAGUGAUGAACCCCAUCCAAUUUCUAAAAUCUUCGAAUAACUCCAUGGAUCAUGAAACCCAGGAGCUCUCUCUUUUUUUUCCAGAAAAAGAUUUCUCCUGCCUGCGCCUAGCAAAAUAAGCAAAAUGCAAACUAAAUAAAGAGUAGUCUACCUAAAAAAUA
Arvicola amphibius (Eurasian water vole) is the source of this 174-nucleotide long non-coding RNA. RefSeq lists it as uncharacterized. NCBI's taxonomy places the organism in Eukaryota, Metazoa, Chordata, Mammalia, Rodentia, Cricetidae. The record is from RefSeq and is a predicted model, not a curated record. The transcript is spliced from 2 exons.